AUAAAGACUGCUGUGAUCCUUCAUCAUGUAAGUUAAAACCCUCAGCAGUAUGUGGCUCUGGAGAAUGCUGUACAGUACAGUGCAAGGUAAGUGUCAAUUUGUAGUUGAUAAUAAUUCAAUGUUCUUUACUUGAGGUAUGUGUGUUUUAAGGAGAUAGAAAACAUUGAUACCACAUUUGGCCUUUUUCUGUAUUAUAUUCAAAUACAAUUGGACCCAAUUGCAUACUUUAUUCCAUUUAGUAAUCUUUCGUUUCCUAUACUGUCAUAUGUCUGAUGUUUUUACUCUCCCAACUUGACUUCCCAUUUCUAUAGGCCAUUAUGAAUCUUCCUGUGAACCCUCUAAAUUUUUUCUAUAAUCACCAUGCCCGUAGCAAUUAUCUUAUACUCAUGUUUUUUAAAAAAUCAAAGUUACAUAGGAUUAUAAAGUUAGUGUUUUAUUGGACAAAUUUACUUCACUGUCUUCAGAUAAAAUAGUAUUUUCUUUUACAAUUCAUUCAGGUAUUAUUGCAAUAAUUCAUUGCUGCUUUAUUAACACUAUUUAAAGAAGUUCCAAAUCAUUUUCCACAUGUACCCAGCAUAGUUUACUGGGUUCUAAGAAAAAAAUUCUGAAUAAGGUAAAUAACAAAAUCCAUAGAUUAGAGAAAGUAUAUGAUUUUAAAAUUAAAUUAUUAUAUAAUUCAAAAGCUAGUUCAGGAAAAUGAUCUUAAAAAAUUGCAAUCCUUAACUUAUUAAGAGAGCAUCAGAAGAAGGGAAUGGAAUAAAAUAAAAUUAAAGGUAUAUGAAAUGAAGAUUACAAAGUACAUUUGCAAAUUAAACAUAAUAUCAACAUAAUGUAGUGAAUAUUAGAAUAGCUGUGGCUUAAAUUAUUGACAUAGAAGAGAAAGAAGACAUACCCAAAUAUAAGGAUUAGAUCAGAAUGAAAAGAGAAAAAAAUAGGUAGUGAUGAAAACAUGAUUUUUACAUUUCUUCUUUAUCUGUUUUUAAUUGCUUUAUUAUAAAUAUUAACUCAUAUAGUAUAAUUAUUCAAAUUAAUGUGAUUAACUGCAACAUUUUCAUACAUGCAUAUUUCAUGCUUUAAUCCUAACCAACCUUUCUACUAGUCUCUCUUGUUUUUCUCUUUUGCUACUUCCCCCUGAUCUUCUAUACCUUUCUUUAGUAGUCUCUCAUCUAUUUCAGGUUUAUUCACUUUUUUAAAAAAGUGUUGUAUACGAGGAAAUAUGCAAUACUUGUAUUUCUGAUAAAAUUGAAUCUGAUAAGGCUAGCAGAAAAAAAAAUAAGGCACAUUAUUCUAAUAUCAAUGGUAAACCUCCAUUGAGAAAAUGGAAGUGGGGCAGACAUGAAUGAAUGGUGGGAAUAUAGAAUUGACCAAUAGCAUCUUAUUUCCAAACCUGAUUGGACAAAGUCUGGACCAAUAGCAUUGGUACAUUUUUCAAACCCUAAUUAGCAUAACUUUGAGCCAAUCACAGUGACCCAAGGGCUAUAUAAGCCCUCUUGCCAGCCACACUUCGCAGAAGAUAACUGAAGACAGCGGAGCAGAAGAAGACGGCGGAGCAGAAGCCGGAGCCUGCGGAGCAGAAGCCGGAGCCGCAGGAGCUGAAGCCGCCCGGGCAGAAGCCGCCCGGGCAGAAGCCGGAGCCCCAAACAAUCCAGGACACUACAAUAACAGAACCAAUGGAUAGCGAAGUUGAUGAUAUGUCAGAGAAGGAGUUCAGAAGGUUCAUAAUUAAAAUGAUCUGUGAAUUAAAGAAUGACCUAAAUGAGCAAAUACAGGAACAAAUUGAUCACUCCAAUGAUGAAAUAAGAGCAAAUACAGGUAGCAAAAGAUUACUUCAAGAGAGAGAUACUCUGGGGAAAAAAAAAAAAAAGAACCAGUCAGAAAUCCUCGAAAUGAAGGACACAAUAAAUCCAAUAAAAAACUCAAUAUAAAGCAUUACCAACAGACUAGAUCACUUGGAAGAACAUCAGAUAAUGAAGACAAAGUAUACAAUCUGUAAAAUACAGUUGAUUACACAGUGAAGAUAGUUAGAAACCAUGAACUGAACAUCUAAAAGUUAUUAUGAUAGAGGAAGGCACAGAGUUUCAAACCAAAGGAAUGCACAAUCUCUUCAAUGAGAUCAUAUCAGAAAAUUUCCCAAGCAUGAAGAAUGAAUUAGAGAACCAAUUAUAAGAGGCUUAUAGGACAUCAAAUGUACAAAAUUACAACAGAUCUAUCAAGGCACAAUGAAAAUGCCUAGCAUACAGAAUAAGGAUAGAAUCUUAAAAGCCACAAAAGAGAGGAAUUAGAUCACAUAUAGGGAGAGACCAAUUGGUAUCUCAGCAGAUUUUUCAACCCAGACCCUCAGAGCCAGGAGAUCGUGGAACAACAUAUACCAAGCUCUGAAAGAAAAUGGGUGCCAACAACCAAGAAUCUUAUAUCGAGAAAAACGAAGCUUUAAAUUUGAUGAAAUAAAAACCUUCUAUGAUAAACAGAAGUUAAAAGAAUUUACAACUAGAAAUCCUGCACUACAGAACAUCCUCAGCAAAAUAUUCCAAGAAGAGGAAAUGAAAAACAAUGAUGAAAAUCAGCAGAGGGAGGGAUUACACUAAAGGAAAAUCUAAUCAGAGGAGAAACCAAGUCAUGUUAAAUACCAAAAAUAAACAGAAAUGGCUGGUAAUAUAAAUCAUGUCUCAAUAAUAAUCCUGAAUAAUAUUAAUGGCCUAAACUUACCAAUCAAAAGACAUAGACCUAACAAUAUGCUGCAAUGAAGAGACUCAUAGAAAAAGACAUCCAUAGACUGAAGUGAAGGGUUGGGAAAAAUCAUAUCACUCACAUGGACUGCAGAAGCAAGCAGGGGUUUCCAUCCUCAUAUAAAAUAAUAUAGACUUCAACCUAGAGUCAAUAAGAAAGUUUAAUGAAGGGCACUACAUACUGCUCAAGGGCCAUACAGCAACAAGACUUAACAAUUUAAAUAUAUAUGCCCCAAACUGUGGAGCAUCUAUGUUCAUUAAACAAACUCUUCUCAAGUUCAAGAGUCAAAUAGACCACAACACAAUAAUUUUGGGUGACUUUAACACACCUCUUUCAUCACUGGACAGUUAUUCCAAACAAAAGAAUAAAGAAACUAUAGAACUCAAUAAUACAAUCAAUAACUUAGACUUAACUGACAUAUAUAGAAUAUUUCAUCCUUCAAUGAGAAUACACUUUCUUAGCAGCACGUGGAUCCUUCUCUACAAUAGAUCAUGUACUAUGCAAUGGGUUACAGAAGACAUCAAUGAGUAGAUCAAAAAGUUUUUAGAGGUAAAUGAGAAUGCACAUAUGGCAUAUAGAAAUCUCUGGGACACUAUGAAAGCAAUUCUAAGAGGAAAGUUCAUUGCAUGGAGUUCAUUCCUUAAAAGAAGAGUCAACAAAUAAAUGACUUAACAUUAUAUCUAAGAGCCCUAGAAAAAGAAGAGAAAAUCUACACCAAAAGCAGCAGAAGACAGAAAAUAAUUAAAAUCAGAGCUGAAAUCAAUGAAAUUGAACAAAAGAAACAAUUGAAAAAAUUGUCAGAAAAAAAGUUGUUUCUUUGAAAAUAAAUAAAUAAAAUUGUUAACAUGCUAACAUGCUAACAAAGAGAAGGAAAGAGAAAACUAAAACAUGACCCUUAAACAUGCUAACAAAGAGAAGGAAAGAGAAAACUCAAAUCACAAACAUAUGCAAUAAAAAGGAAAUAUCAAAAAAGACACAACAGAAAUACAGAAGAUAAUUAGAAAUUAUUUUGAAAACUUGUACUCUAAUAAAAUAGAAAAUUUUGAAGGCAUCAACGAAUUUCUAGAGUCAUAUAAUUUGCCCAAAUUGAAUCAGGAUGAUAUACAGAAUUUAAACAGAUCAAUUUCAAGUGAUGAAAUAGCAGAUGCCAUUAAAGUCUACCAACCAAGAAAAGCCCUGGACCAGACAGAUACACAGCCAAGAUCUACAAGACCUUUAAAGAAGAAUUAAUACCAAUACUUUUCAAUUUAUUUCAGGAAAUAGAAAAAGAGGCAGCACUUCUGAAUUCAUUCUAUGAGGCCAAUAUCACUCUGAUUUCAAAAACCAGGCAAAGACACAUGAAAAAAAGAAGACUUCAAAUCAAUAUCUCUAAUGAACAUAGAUGCAAAAAUUCUCAAUAAAUUCUGGCAAAUUGAACACAAAAACAUAUCAAAAAGAUUGUGCACCACUAUAAUGUGGGAUUCACCCCAGGGAUGCAAGUUUGUUUCAACAUAUGGAAAUCAAUAAAUGAAAUUCAUCACAUUAAUAAACUUAACAAAUCAUAUGAUCAUCUCAAUAGAUGCAGAAAAAGCAUUUGACAAAAUGUUCAAAACACUAGAAAAACUAGGGUUAACAGAAAUAUCUCAACAUCAUAAAGGCUAUUUAUGUUAAGCCCCAGGCCAACAUAAUUAUAAAUGGAGAAAAAUUGAAGGCAUUUUCUCUAAAACCUGGAAAAAGUCAGGGAUGCCCUCUUUCACCACUUCCACUUAACAUAGUUCUUGAAACACUGGCCAGAGCAAUUAGAUGAAAGAAAUUAAAGGGAUAAACAUAAGAAAAGAAGAACUAAAAUUAGCACUAUUUGCUGAUGAUAUGGUUCUAUACCUAAAAUCAAUAAAUGGGAUGGACUCAAACUAAAAAGUUUCUUCUCAGCAAAAGAAACAAUCUGUGAGGUGAAUAGAGAGCCUACAUCUUUGGAGCAAAUUUUUAACCUCUCACACAUCAGAGCACUCUUCUCUAGGGUAUAUAAAGAAUUCAAAAAGCUAAACACCAAAACAACAAAUAAGCCAAUCAGUAAAUGGUUCAAGAACCUGAAGAGACAAUUCUCAGAAGAGGAUAUACAAUCAAUCAACAAAUACAUGAAAAAAUGUUCAUCAUCACUAGCAUUUGGAGCAAUGCAAAUCAAAACCACUCUUAGAUUUUGUCUCACUCCAGUCAGAAUGGCAGCUAUUGUGCAUACAAACAACAAGUGUUGGCUAGAAUGUGGGGAAAAAUGUACACUCAUACACUGCUGGUGGGACUGCAAAUUGGUGCAGCCAUAGUGGAAAGCAGUAUGGAGAUAUCUUGGAAAAUUUGGAAUGGAACCACCAUUUCACCCUGCUAACCCUAUCCUUGGUCUAUACCCAAAGGACUUUAAAACAGCAUACUACAGGGACACAGCCACACCAAUGUUCAUAGCAGCACAAUUCACAAUAGCUAGACUGUGGAGCCAAGAUGCCCUCCAAUAGNGCAGGAGCCGCCCGGGCAGGAGCCGCCCGGGCAGGAGCCGCCCGGGCAGGAGCCGCCCGGGCAGAAGCCGGAGCCGCCCGGGCAGGAGCCGCCCGGGCAGGAGCCGGAGCCGCCCGGGCAGGAGCCGGAGCCGCCCGGGCAGGAGCCGCAGCCGCCCGGGCAGAAGCCGGAGCCGCCCGGGCAGAAGCCGGAGCCGCCGCCGCCGCCCGGGCAGAAGCCGGAGCCGCCCGCCCGGGCAGAAGCAGCCCGGGCAGGAGCCGCCCGCCCGGGCAGAAGCAGCCCGGGCAGGAGCCGCCCGCCCGGGCAGAAGCAGCCCGGGCAGGAGCCGCCCGCCCGGGCAGANCAAGGUCACCACAAAAACUACACAAAUGCAUGGAAUACAUUUUUAAGUGAUGAAUGUGUCAUUAAAGAGAUUAGAGGAGAUAUUAAAAAUUCUUAGAAUUAAAUGAGACUAGAAAUGCAACAAAAGUGACAGAAAUUAUAAAAAAAAAUGAACUCAAAUUGUCCGUUUGCAGAUGAUGUGAACCUAUACCUAGAAGAAUUCUAGCAGGUAAAAAAAUUCAGUAAAGUAGUAGGAUAUAAAAUAAGGAUACAGCUUUUCUAUAUACCAAUAAUGAAUCUGAAAAAGAAGUCAGGAAAAUUAUCCAAGAAAAAAUGAUAAACAUAGGAAUAAAUGUAAUGAAAGAUAUAAAAGGCUUCUACAAGGAAAAUUACACAACAAUGAAAAAUGAAUAAAUGAAGAUACUAGAAGAUGAAAAAAAACUUCCAUGUUCACAUAUAGGCAAAGUUAACAUUGUUAUCAUGGCAAUUUUACUAAAAGUAAUCUACAGAUUCAAUGAAAUUUCUAUCAAUAUACCAAUGACAUUCUUCACAAAACUAGAAAAAGAAUAGCUUAAAAUUAAUAUGGAAGAAAAAAAAAACAAUCAGAAUAGCCACAUUGAUUCCAAGCAUGAAGAGCUAUGCUGGAGGAAUCACAGUACCAUUUUUAAAAUUAUACUACAGAGCUAUAGUAACAAAAAACACGUGGAACUGGCAUAAAAGACAUGUAGACCAACAGAAUAGAAGAUUCAGAGACAAGUACACAUGGAUACAAUCAUCCUUGACAAAUGUGCCCAAAACACAUGUUGGAGAAAAGAUAACCUUUAAAAAGAACACCUAGCAUAACACCUACUAUGUCCUCUCUAACAUGUAAUAGUUAGAAAUGUGUCUUUAUAUGACAUAUAUCUAGAAUAGAGACUGGCAUUUAGUAGGCCCUAAAAAAUAUCAAUAGGUGCUAUGGUUUAAAUAUGUUCUCCAAAGAUGAUAGGUUGAAAACUUUAUCCUUAAUGCAGCAGUUUUGCAAAGUGGGACCUUGAAGUGGUUAUUAGGUUUGGGCAGCUCUGACCUCAUAAAUAUAUUGAUUCCAUUAAUAAUCAGUGGGUUCCACACCCCAGCAGUGAGUUCCUAAUGAAAGAAUUGAGUUGAGCCUCCUCCUCUCCAUCUUCCCUCUCUUUCAUUAACACAUAUGCACACACCUGCCUCUUUCCCUUCCACAUUCCACCAUGGGAUGAUGCAGCAAGUAGGUCCCUUAGUCAUAAACUUUCUGGCCUCCUUCUAGAAAACAAAUAUAUUUUCCUUAUUAAUUAUCCAGUCAAUUAUAUACUGUAAUAACAAUACAAAGUAAACUGAGAUAAUGAGUAAAUGAAUGAGUGAAUUCCAUCAGCAUCGACAAUUCUACCAAGGGUAAUCUCCUGUCCUAACACUGGGUUAAAAGGAAAAUGAAUUGGAAAUUGAGAGGGAGUAGUGAUUUAAAAGGAAAUAUAUUUUAAUAUAUUAUUAUAUAUUAAUAACAAUAAUAAUAAUUAAUAAUAUAUUAAUAUAUUAUUUUAAAUAUAUUAUUCUUUAGGGGAAUAAUAACUAAAAUGUGUGUGGUGGUUCAUGAAAUAUAAUAUAUAUGUUUGUUUGUUUCAUUUUGUUUUUUAACUCAACUACAAAAUGUGACCCAGUUUCAAUGUAUAAGGAAACCAUUGACUUCUUCUAAAAUUUGGGAAAUUGUGGAUUUUAUUCAUAAGUGCUGAGAGUGUAUGUGUUUUGUGUGUGUCCUUUGAAAAUUUAUGUAAAAAAUGAUCCUGGGAAAACACAUUACCCUAUGUAAAAAAAAAAAUGAAAGGAGAUCCUUCUCAUCCUGCAAAAAAGUGAACUCAAAAUGGGUCAGAGACCUAGGAAUUUGAUGAGAAACUUUGCAAGUCCUAAAAGAAAACAUAGGGGAAACUCUCUAACAUAUAAGUGCAGACAAGGAUUUCCUGAACAGAAUUCCUAAAGUUCAGAAAAUAAUAUCAAGAGUCAAUAGAAGGUAUUGGUUUCAAAUUAAACACUUCUGUAGAGCAAAACAAGCAUGAAAAAAAAAGGCAUGAAAGGAAAGCUACUCUUCCAAAAGAGGAUUCAUACGUAGAACAUAUGAACACAACCCCUCCCCCAAACAAGCAAACAAACCCAAAUCACCCAAUCAAUGAAUGGACAUAGUAACUAAUAUAGACAUUUUCUAAAGAAGUGCAAAUGGCCAAGUGUAUGAAAAAAAAGUUCAACAUCAUUAGCCAUCAUGAAAAUGCUAAUCAAAACAACACUGAGAAUUCAUCUCACCCUGCUUAGAGUGUAAUCCUCAAGAAUUCAAGUCAGAAUUAAUGCUGGUGAGGAAGUAGGGGAAAGGAGUUUUUUUUUUUUUUUUUUUGUAGCCUGCUGGUGGAAAUCUAAAUUAGUACAGUACUAUGGUUGGGAUAUGUGGUGUCUCUAAAAGCUCAUGUGUGAAACACUGUAAGAAUGUUUACAGGGGAAAUGAUCAGGUUAUGGAAGCUUUAACCUAAUCAGUGCAUGAUUUUUAUGAAAAAAAAUCAAACUAGAAUCCAAACUCACUCAUGAACCUAUAUGUAGAAAUCCAAAAUGCAUAUUAACAAGGUAAAUAUGGGCUUAUUUCAAGAAUAUAAGUAUGAUUUAAUAUUUGAUAAUAAACCAGUGUUAUUUAUUAUAGUAAAAGAAAUAAGCUGGGUGCAGUGGCUUGGGAGGCUCAGGCAGGAGGAUUGCAAUUUCAGAGCAGGCUUGCAAUUUAUCAAGGCCCCAAGCAACUUAGCUGGUAUUUUAGUCAUCUUUUUUGCUGCUUUAAUUAAACUAUCUGAUAAGAAAAAGUUUAAGGCAAAAAAGUUUAUUUUGGGGCUCAUGGUUUGUUUCACAGCUCUCAGACCACAGACAUCUGGCUGCAUUCCCCAGGGGCUCCAGGUGAAGCUGAAUAUCAUGGUGGAAGAAUAUGGCCAGAACGAAGCAGCUCAUGUGAUCAGAAAGCAGAGAGAGAGAGGGAACUACUCUCCAAAUACAAAAUAUAUAUCCCAAAGGCAAUCCCCAGGGACUCUUCCCCCUCCACCACAUCCUACCCAGGCAUUAGUUAAUGCCAUCAGAGGAUUGAUUUACUAAUUGGGUUAAGGUUCCACAAUUUAGCUAUUGUGGAUUGAGCCAUUCUGACUGGAGUGAGAUGAAAUCUUAAAGUAGUUUUGAUUUGCAUUUCUCUAAUUGCUAGAGAUGUUGAACAUGUUUUCAUAUAUUUGUUGAUCAAUUGUAUGUCUUCUGAGAAGUAUCUGUUAAGUUUCCUAGCCCAUUUAUUGAUUGGGUUGUUUGGGGUUUUGUGUGUGUGUGUGUGUGUGUGUUAAGUUUUUUGAGUUCUUAUAUGUCCUGGAGAAUAUUGCUUUAUCUGAUGUGCAUGUGGUAAAAACUUGCUCCCCUUCUGUAGGUGUUCUAUUCACCUCACUGAUUGUUUCUUUUUUUGAGAAGAAGCUUUUCUGUUUAAAUCCAUACCACUUAUUGAUUCUUGGUUUUAUUUCUUUAGGAAUCUUUUUAAUUUUAUUUCUCUUUAGGACUCUUGUUAAGGAAGUAGGAGCCUAAUCUGACAUAAUCAAGAUGUGGGCCUACUCUUUCUUCUACUAGAUGCAGAGUCUCUGGUCUAAUUCAUAGGUCUUUGAUUCACUUUGAGUUGAGUUUUGUGCAUGGUGACAGAGGGGGGUUUAGUUUCAUUUUGCUGCAUGUAUAGUUUUAGUUUUCCUAGCACCAUUUGUUGAAGAGGCUAUCUUUUCUCCAAUAUAUGCUUUUGGCAACUUUGUCUACUAUAACUGUAUUUAUGUGGGUUUGUCUCUGUGUCUUCUAUUCUGUAUCAUUGGUCUACAAGUCUAUUUUGGUGCCAAUACCAUACCUUUUUGUUACUAUUGCUCUAUAGUAUAGUUUAAGUUCUGGUAUUGUGAUGCCACCUACUUCAGUUUUCUUGCUAAGGAUUGCUUUGGCUAUUCUGGGUUUGAUGAUUUUCAAAAUGAAUUUCAUGAUUGCUUUUGCUAUUUCUGUGAGGAAUGUCAUUGGGAUUUUGAUUGGAAUUGCAUUACAUCUGUACAGUGCUUUUGUUAGUAUGGUCAUAUUGACAAUAUUAAUUCUGCCUAUCCAAGAAUAGGGGAGAUUUUUUUCCAUCUUCUAAGGUCUUGUUUAAUUUCCUUCUUUAGCAUUCUGUAGUUUUCAUUGUAGAGGUCUCUCACCUCUUUUGUUGAUUCCCAAGUAUUUUAUUUUAUUUUUGAGGCUAUUGUAAAUGGAGUAGUUUUUCUAGUUUCUUUUUCAGAGGAUUUUCACUGAUGUACAGAAAUGCCUUUGAUUUAUGGGUGUUGAUUUUAUAUCCUGCUACUUUGCUGAAUCCAUUUGUUAGUUCUAGAAGUUUUGUGAUGGAAUUAUUUGGAUCCUCUAGGUAUAGAAUCAUAUCAUUGGCAAUACUGAUAGAUUGAGUUCUUCUUUUCCUAUCUGUAUCCCUUUAAUUUCUUUCAUCUGUCUAACUACUCUGGCUAGAGUUUCAAGAACUGUGUUAAAUAGGAGUGGUAAAAGAGGGCAUCCCUGUCUUGUUCCAGUUUUUAGAGGUGAUGCUUUCAAUUUUUUUUCCAUUUAGAAUGAUAUUGAUCGUGGGCUUAUCAUAGAUAGCUUUUACUAUGUUAAGAUGUGUUCCUGUUAGCCCUAGUUUAUCUAGUGUUUUGAACAUGAAGGUGUGCUGUAUUUUGUUGAAUGCUUUUUCUGCAUUUAUUGAGAUGAUCAUAUGAUUCUUACCUUUAAGGCUAUGCGAUGUGAUGAAUUAAUAUGCAUAUUACAGUUGUGUUGUACAUACUUUUUUUAUUUUUACAUUUUUUAUUUUUUUAUUUUUAUGUUUAUUUGUUUUUUGUACUCUCUCUAUUGUCUUCCCCAUACUUAUCUCCCCCAAAAUCUCUUUCUCUAUAUGUAAUCUGAUUCCUAUCUCUUGUGGCUUUUAAAAUUAUCUCCAUAUUCUGUAUGAUAGGCAUUUUCAUCAUAAUGUGACUUUAUGUAGAUCUAUUGUGAUUUUUGUACAUUUUGUGUCCUGUAAGACUCUUGUAUUUGAUUUCCACUUCAUUCUUUAUGUUUGGAAAAUUUCUGAUAUUAUUUCAUUGAUUUCAUUAUGAGUACAUGCAGUUCUACUUUUCUAUCACUAAACAUCUCAUAAUGUUAGUUGUUUACAUUAGAUAUGACUUGAAACAAAUUUAGUUUCUAUUUUAUCUAUCAUAGGAAAGUGUUUUAUUGAUUAUCAAUUUCUUUGUCAUUGCUGCAUCAAGUAGAAUUAUUUUUGACUGAAUAAAGUACAUUUUCCUGUGCCCAAGUAUACAUUUAAAAAAAUAUGUUUCGAGACUUGGUAAUAAACACAUUUCACAUUGGUCCCUAGAUCCAGUUGUGAAAAGGUACAUAGUUCAACUUAUGAUUUUUUUGACAGAUAAUGGUAGUUUCAUUAAUAUGUAAUCAAGAUGGUAGUGGGGGCAAUCAGAGGUUAUAAAUGAAUUUGCUCAUUCCUGGUCCAGUUACAGACGGAGAAAAAACUUUGACCAUGCAUUUAGACAAAACAUGUACAAUAGACAAAACAUGUACAAAGUGAGAGUCUUGGUAAGAAUAAAAUGUUUACCCCCCUCCCCACCCCCACAAUUAGAAGGAAAAAUGUCAUAAACAAAAAUAGUAUUUAAAAUUUUCCAGCAACAGCAAAUUGAUCAAGAGAGUCAAGGAAAGAAAUCCAACACACAUGUUUUUUUUUUUUUUUCUCUCUACUCAUUAAUCAUGGAGGUAGUAGGAAAUUUCAGCUUGGUUCAGACAGCAUUUGAGAAACUGAGUAUUCAUAGGUAUGAAAAAUAUGUUAGAAUAAAAGUAAAAUUUUCAUUAAUACAAAUUUGUAAAAGGAAGCAAGUUGUGAGAAAAUAGUGUUGAUACUUUCUUAUUAUACUUUUAUUCAUUUUAAAUUUUUUUCAUUGGUUUUGAGUUGAAUGUUAAUUCUGUAAGUUUGGGUGACACAAGUAGAUACUAUGUUUUCUAUUGUUGUCUAUCACUUGGAGAAUUUCAGUGAUAUUUGCUACAAAUAAUUUUCAAUGCUCAAGAAAAAGUACUGAGAAACCUAUUUUGGGGAGAUGAAUAUUAUAUCAGCUGGCCUCUGGGACCUUUGAAAACUAGAAAACUUACUUUGAAUAAGAUAAUGAUGAGGAAUUGGGGCUUAUAUUGAUGAGAAGACAGUUUCCAGAGUUGAUGAUUAAAUGUUUCUUUGCCCAAUCAAGCAUGCAGAAGGCAGCCCUGAAAUAGAUCAGCUAAAUCAUAAGCACUGAAUACUAACUGCAGAAAUUAUUUUCUUAGUUGUUAACAACAUGAUAUAUGAAAUAAACUUUGUGUUGUGUAUCCUCAAACUAUCUUAUUUUAAAAUCAAUAUUUUUCAAAAUAUUUAUGAUGUGUAUUACCAUUUCAUAAAUAUUUUCUGGUUUCUUAAGAUUGAUAAUACAGAGACUUCAGAAGCUGCCCAUAGCCAUAAUGGCUUACAAGGAAUUUUUGUAUUACUUUUUUAGCUCCUUCCUAUUUUAGCAGCCUGCUUAUCUUUGAGAUUCUAACAUCUCUUAGAAACAUUAUCCACUGUUUAUGUGCACAAGAAAUUCGUUAAUAUCUAUGUGAUGCUUUAGUAGAUAACAAGAGAUUUUCUUUUCUUUUUACUUUGCGGUGGGGGGUGGUGGUUAUUGAACCCAGGGGAGGUUUAAUCACUGUGCAGCAUCCCCAGCCCUUGAUAGGGCCUUUCUAAGUUGCUGAGGCUGGCUUUGAACUUGCAGUCUUCCUGCCUUAGCCUUCCAAGCCUCUGGGAUUACCAGCAUGUACCACCACUCAGGGUUGCAAUUUCCAUUUUUAAAAUUGCUUUUGACAAUUUAGGAAAAAUAUUGAAUGGGAAUUUAGAACCUAAAGAGAAAGAAAAUUAAGUAUCAUUGAUACUAUUCUUAUGAUUCUUUCCUCUCCUAGAUAAAACCAGCUAAUAUACUUUGUAGGAAAUCAUUUGAUUCUUUCUGUGAUUUCAAAGAAUUUUGUGAUGGGAAAAAUGCAUACUGUGUGGACAACACUUUUUCUCGCAACGGACAAGAGUGUGAUUCGGGUAGAGGCUACUGCUUUGAUGGAAUAUGUCGGUCUUUUGACAAACAGUGUCAAAAUUUAAUCGGAAGUGGUAAUGAACUUAAUUUUUUCUCAGUUCCUUAAAUAUUAUUAUUCCAAAAUCAAUUUUAUACUAUAAAAAGGUAAAAAUAAUUUGUUAAUGACUGAAAGUCCUGCCUAGUAUAUAUUUGUGUUAACCUCAUCAGACGUUAAUUCUUUCAAAAAUGUUUUUGCUUGCGAUAUCUAUAAGCAAAUGUAGAAAAAAUGAAAAGCAAUUUAUUCCUAAAAUACCUUGAUUGUUAGAUAAUGGAAAUUCUUUGAUCUGGUGUCUAUGCUUAGGGCCAGUUGUCAUCCAUAGUAACCUAAGUUAGUGUUCCUAAUUUGUUAACUUUCCAAGUCCCUUUAAACAUGUUUACCUACAAUAUUGGAAUCUCCCAGAUUUGUGGAUUUUUAUCCCAAUUUACUCUUUCUUAUAAUUUCCUAGUUUCAGAAAUCUUAUAUUUGGGAUUUAAAAAAAGAAGGAGAGGACAGUGCUCCUUUUAUUUUAGUUUCCUACCUAGCAGCCUUCAAAGAUUUUUAUAAAUCCAAGGAAUUAAUAGAUUAACUGCCUUGGGCAGUAAAUAAUAAAAUGAUGAUGAUGAUAAUGAUAAUAAUAAUAAUACAAUAAAAUUCAUAUAUCAAGAGCAAACUUUUUACAUCUCUUUGUGUCUUUGGAAUAUACUUUUGUAUGGCUCUCAUUUCUAGACCAUGGCUUAAAUUUCUGAUAGUUUCCACCUAACAUUAACACAAAGAUCUUCUGCAGAAAGGGUCCUUAAGUUUUGUGAAAUGGCAUCUC
Molecule: long non-coding RNA, 13483 nt
Filed under: Marmota monax (woodchuck)
Lineage: Eukaryota; Metazoa; Chordata; Mammalia; Rodentia; Sciuridae
Source: RNAcentral